GAUGAACGCUGGCGGCGUGCCUAACACAUGCAAGUCGAACGGACUCUUAAUUCGAUAUUUAUUAUCGAAAGCUGACAUGCUUGUUUUUUAGUGACUCCGCAGCCCGAAACGAAAGUUCGAGCCAGGACCGGAACUAAAAACAUGUAUGUCAGCUAUCACAGAGUUAGUGGCGGACGGGUGAGUAACACGUUAGUACCUACCCUCUAGUGGGGAUAACUGCCCGAAAGGGUAGCUAAUACCGCAUGUGAUCACUUGUGAUCAAAGCAGCAAUGCGCUAGAGGGAGGGCUUGCGUCUGAUUAGCUUGUUGGACGGGGUAACGCCCAACCAAGGCGACGAUCAGUAGCUGGUUCGAGAGG
Molecule: ribosomal RNA, 357 nt
Filed under: uncultured bacterium
Lineage: Bacteria
Description: bacterial SSU rRNA
Rfam family: Bacterial small subunit ribosomal RNA
Source: RNAcentral